RNAcentral lists this ribosomal RNA (161 nucleotides) under uncultured bacterium. RNAcentral's name for it is "partial 16S ribosomal RNA". It matches the Rfam family "Bacterial small subunit ribosomal RNA", at positions 358 to 511 of the family's 1533-position model. The record is from RNAcentral.
GGAAUCUUCCACAAUGGGCGGAAAGCCUGAUGGAGCAACGCCGCGUGUGUGAUGAAGGGUUUCGGCUCGUAAACACUGUUGUAAGAGAAGAAUGACAUUGAGAGUAACUGUUCAAUGUGUGACGGUAUCUUACCAGAAAGGAACGGCUAAAUACGUGCCAG